UGUCUUUACCUCUCAACUGAACCCUGAACUCCUGGAGAAUAGAUGCUGUCGGGAAAUCACCAGCUUCUCACAAAGCAAUGAUCGUUGAAUAAAUCCUUGUUAAAUAAUGACAGUUUUCCUUUUUGGAUUGCUGUGAUCUCUACUCCCAUCACGACUGCUAAGCCUUGGGCAGGAGACCUUGUAUUCCCAGCCAGCUAUUCUUCCCACCGCCAU
RNAcentral lists this long non-coding RNA (213 nucleotides) under Homo sapiens (human). RNAcentral describes it as "non-protein coding lnc-NKX6-1-5:2". The record is from RNAcentral. Lineage: Eukaryota; Metazoa; Chordata; Mammalia; Primates; Hominidae.